UGGGGAAUAUUGCACAAUGGGCGAAAGCCUGAUGCAGCGACGCCGCGUGAGGGAUGACGGCCUUCGGGUUGUAAACCUCUUUCAGCAGGGAAGAAGCGAAAGUGACGGUACCUGCAGAAGAAGCGCCGGCUAACUACGUGCCAGCAGCCGCGGUAAUACGUAGGGCGCAAGCGUUGUCCGGAAUUAUUGGGCGUAAAGAGCUCGUAGGCGGUUAGUCGCGUCUGCUGUGAAAACUCGAGGCCCAACCUCGGGCUUGCAGUGGGUACGGGCUGACUAGAGUGCGGUAGGGGUGACUGGAAUUCCUGGUGUAGCGGUGGAAUGCGCAGAUAUCAGGAGGAACACCGAUGGCGAAGGCAGGUCACUGGGCCGCAACUGACGCUGAGGAGCGAAAGCAUGGGGAGCGAACAGGAUUAGAUACCCUGGUAGUCCAUGCCGUAAACGUUGGGCACUAGGUGUGGGGUCCAUUCCACGGAUUCCGUGCCGCAGC
RNAcentral lists this ribosomal RNA (487 nucleotides) under uncultured bacterium. RNAcentral's name for it is "partial 16S ribosomal RNA". It matches the Rfam family "Bacterial small subunit ribosomal RNA", at positions 355 to 852 of the family's 1533-position model. The record is from RNAcentral.